GUUUAAUUUACAAUAAAGGAAGAAGAAUCAACAAAUAUAUCACAACAGUGGAUCCAAUCAAGGAAGGAACACUUUUAACACCAACACAAAAAUCAUGUAAUUUAAACCCCAACACAGAAAUCAUGUAAUGUCAAACCGGAACUUAAGAAAACCAGAAGGAUGAAAAAUAAAGCUCUCUUUAAACCUGAUAACAAACAUCUAUAAGGAUUAUAAACGUUAUGUUGUGCUUCAUUUUAUUGAGCACAAUGAAGUCGAGGUAGCCCCAUCCACAUGGCUGGAAUGGAAUAAUGAGGUAAGACUCCAAUAUUUACAGUGUACAAAUAUGGUAAACAUUAAACAGGCUCAUGUAAAUACAUUUGAAAGUAGAAACAAAUACAUUUGUUUAUUUCUUAAAGGCAUUGUAUUGCUAUUGGCCUCACGCAAACACUGGUAGCAUGGUCAAAAAAUGUGCCAUACCAGAUAAGGAGCUAUGGGCUAGAUUUCAUGUCAGAGUACUUUCUGAAACAGGUAACGUACACAAAAUAAUACCUUGCAUACUUUAUAAUAAAAUGGCAAACAUUUCUAUGAUAAGUUAUAUGCUGUGGUAAACAGAUAUGAUGUGGCAAGAUAUCGGGCUAGAAAAGGUCAGGAAACCUCUCAUGUUGAGGACUCAGAUGGGACUAAGGGAAGAAAAAUAAUUCCUCCAAGAAUCUUCAGAGACGAAGAGGUCCAGCCUCCCCAGCACCAAAGGGCAAAACAGACUCAACUAUGCAAGUUUACAUAACAUAAAUUAAAAAAGAAUUAUACUGUAAUGUACAUGAAUUUUGUCUUUCAAUAGUAAAUGUUUUUGUUUUGUUUUGCAGUUCAUGAGACUAGUGAAUCUACUCAAGGUAGUUUCAUUGUGGUGUAUUCAUUUCACUAAAAUCAGUUUAAAAAAUCUAUGGUUUAAAAGCAGAAUGAUUAAUUUAUGACAGAAUCAUGAUUACUUGUUCUUAAACUAUAUCAUGUAAUAAUUUGUUUUGACUAUUUCCUUUGGCACAGAAGAUGAAAUUCCCAGCUUUCAACAAAAACAAAGAAAGCGAGAUUAGAAUCUACAUCUGAGUGCAAGUAAAAAAUAUAUAUAUAACUGUUGAACACAAAAUAUACUAUUGAGAUGUCUUACACUGGGUUAUUUCAACCCAGCACUAGGCCAAAAAGGGACAAAUUCAACCUUUGGGUUAAAUUAGCCCAACAAAUGAUUAUAUUUGACACAACAAUAGGUUAAACAACCCAGCAUUUUGGAUUAAAACAACCCAGCAUAGGUCAAAUUAUGACCCAACAGGUUGGGUUCCUCACAUUUUGACCCAACACCUGGUUGAAAAUAACCCAGCAUUUUUUGAAGUGUACAUAAUCACUAUCAUUGUUUUUCAGCUGAUGAUACUGAUAAAGCUAGGGCUUUUCCACUGUUAUUUAGUUUUUAUACAUUUUACUUAAUGUGAUUUAUUUUUUACUUGGUUCUUAAUCUUUGUUAGAUAAACAGCUGGAGCCACAAAGAAAAACACAAAAGCGCUCCUCUGUGAUGCUGCCAAAUGCUCCUUCUUGUGAGUAUAUUUAUGAGUUUUGGUUUAAAACAUAAGUGUUAUAAUAUUUCAAUAUACUAUAGCACUGAUGGUAAUCGAAUACUUCCUGAUUGUAAUGUUAAACCUGCAAUUUCUGUAAAGCUGCUUUGAAACAAAAUAUAUA
Molecule: non-coding RNA, 1701 nt
Organism: Misgurnus anguillicaudatus (oriental weatherfish)
Lineage: Eukaryota; Metazoa; Chordata; Actinopteri; Cypriniformes; Cobitidae
Source: RefSeq, a predicted model, not a curated record